AGUUGAAGGUACCGGCCAUGGUGCUGCUGUAUUUCCACGUGCACAUGGGACUAAAAGCACACAGUAGGGUGACAUACGGAUCCUCUAGCUCUCACUCAAAACUUCUGGGGCUGGAGAUGCAGCUUAUGUUACAAAGGUGGCUCUUGAGAAGGUGAGGAGUGCCUGGCAGACUCCCCCGGACGCCCCGCUGCUUCUGCACACCGGAAUAGCCUGACAGUUUCUCUGUCUCACCUGAGCAGUAGCAUCCAGAAAGCUGGCCAGUUCCCAAGUGAUGGAAGCAAGUUACCCUACUGCCCACAGCUCCUACUUUAUGAAGAAAAACAAAGGAUCUGCGGGUGGUGUCUGACUUUAUGUAGGGGAUUAGCUCAUACGUUCCUUGGCACAGUGCUUUCCCCCUUCUGGAUGCUCAAGAAAUAUGAUUUGAUGAUAAGCCUGCCUGUGAUUUCCAGAUGCCUUUGUUUCCCUCCUGUUGAUUCCUCAGUCUUGCCAGGGAAGGUAAGCUACUGUGUCAUUAGGCAAAGACUCUUCUUCAAUAAGUGUAGGUGGGUGAGUGAAGGUUGAAUACCAAGAGAACAAAGGGGAAAGGAAAUAGAGUACUUUGCCACUUGUACAACCUUUACUAACAAUUUUCUUUUGAAGCUGUACAUUUAUUACUUUCAAAUAAAAAGCUUUGUUGAAUAAAAAUCUUCUUAAAAUUACCCUUAAGUGCGCCAUUUUGUUCAAGACGAACCCAUUAAACGUUUUCUUUAGUA
Molecule: long non-coding RNA, 752 nt
Organism: Panthera uncia (snow leopard)
Lineage: Eukaryota; Metazoa; Chordata; Mammalia; Carnivora; Felidae
Exons: 3
Source: RefSeq, a predicted model, not a curated record